UAGCAUGAUGGCCAAAUAAAGUAGAGUGCAUCAAGUGAUAAGGUUGGGUUAAGAAGAGGCAAGUUGAUUCCAGAUAAGGUGUGACAUCAAAUAAGCAGAGUUUUGAGAAGUAAUAGAGGAUCGUAUUGACAUCCUCUGAGGUAUGCAACACAACCAAUUUUAAGAUACAAUCACUAAAGAAUAUGUGAUAGUUUAAGUUCAUCAAAUUUGCAAUCCUAUAGUUAUUGCCCUGCUACUAUACUAUUCGAGUUUUCCUCUGAAACAAAAAUGGAGCGGAAAAAGAUUUCAUUUCUCUCAAGCCUCUUCAAGUAAAUAAAAAGUCAUCACUUUACCUUAAGUAUCCAUCAUGUUGGAUACCUCCAAACUCUCUCAAUUAACAAUAUGAUAUGCCACUUACAUGCUUUAUGACAUAUUCUUAUCCAAGUAACAUUCACUCCUUCCACAACCAAGCUCAAGCCCACAGAUAGCGGGAUCAAUUAUUACUUUGUCUUAUGUAUACUGCGAAAAUUAUACUGUUCUCCUCCUGCUUUGAUAUGCUCUUUCUUGAGCCGAGGGUCUAUUGAAAACAACCUCUCUUCCACUUAAGAUAUGGAUAAGAUGCUCUAUUUGUGAGAAGUAUGUUGUUGUUGUACUCAAUUUGCUGAAAAUAGUUAUAGGGAGAGUUAAGGAAGCACAUGUACUAAAAAAAUAACUUCUAAAUUUUAGAUGAAAGAUCAUCACACACACAUAUACUAAGCAAAAAUAGAAGCAUUUUGGGCCAAAGAUUGCAAAAGGAGCUAACCUGUGAAUUGGAACAUGAGAACAACAACGACACUGAAGAGGAAACUCCUCUUUUGAGUGAAGCGGUGACUCUUGGAAUAUAAGCCACGUAGCUUAGCUUAUA
This 883-nucleotide long non-coding RNA is filed under the name Solanum tuberosum (potato). Its description in RNAcentral is "long non-coding RNA (STUB_LNC008704)". The record is from RNAcentral. Lineage: Eukaryota; Viridiplantae; Streptophyta; Magnoliopsida; Solanales; Solanaceae.